Long non-coding RNA from Pan troglodytes (chimpanzee), 38843 nucleotides. RefSeq lists it as uncharacterized. Lineage: Eukaryota; Metazoa; Chordata; Mammalia; Primates; Hominidae. The record is from RefSeq and is a predicted model, not a curated record. The transcript has 2 exons.
GCCUUGGGGCGUGAGAGGGCGUCCGGAGCGGAGAGGACACCGGGCGCUCAGCCCCCCGCCUGACCCCCUUCCGGGGCGCUGACAGGCUCUCGGGACACGGCCUCUGGGGGGCGUCGUGGGGUCACUUGUGUCGGUGGGUGCUUUUUUGGCGCCCCCGUCCCUCAGGGUCGGGCGUCCGAGUCGUGGGGGGCUCGGGGCCGGGAAGUGGGCGCUGCGGUGCGGCCCUGGAGUGCAGCCGCGGCGACAGGGCAUGGGGCGGGCGGCGGGAGGCAGGUGGGCCCCUCCCCGGGGCUCGUGAAGUGGGGGGACCUGGCGUGGGGGCCGCGGGAAGCUUUCGGGAAAUGUUUGUCCGGCAGUUGCAAGAAACUCUGCCCUCGGGACGAGGCGCCUUGCUUUUUGCCGGGGCCAGCGAAAGUGGCGGAUUUCACAGCAAAACUCGGGUGAAGCCAGGCUGGACCGGCCGGGAGUGAGAGAGGCCGGGAGCACCCGUCUGGAUGGGGACCAGAGAUGAACGAAUCCGCCUGUGUGUAGCACCAGGGCAUGAUGUGUGCACGUUGCUAUGCCAGUGUUUAAUGUUUGUUGCUUAUGGUUAUUUUAGGACUAAAUGAUAAAAAAGUUACUUGGGAGAGAGGGAACUGCUUGAUUUGACAUGAGUUCUUCACUUGUGCAUGCAGGAAAUACAUUAAUCCUGUACACACACAACUGAAUUUAUGUCCAGUGGACUUUACAAAUAAUAUACACAAAAUUCUAAAGCCCCGAAGCAAGGUGAUGUGUGUCUGAAGAGUUUCAGGUGUCAGGCUCCGUGUUCCGUGGGAACAAAAUAGGAGGACACCGAAGUACUUGAUAUGCCCAAGCAGUCAUCUUUUUGUAAUAAGCUUUGGAUCCCAUCAAAGUGGAGUUUAGUUGUAACUGCCAGGGUUAAGUAAUCGCAUUGACCCGGUGCCACCCACCAGUUUGGAGCUUCUCUGAAAGUAAUUUACGAGACAGUCCUGUGCUGAUUGUGAAUAACCAGUGCUUUUGCUGAUUUUUUUCCUUUUUAAUUUUACACUGUCAUCAUGUAUGUGUAUGCUACCUGCUUACCAAACGUUAGAAUGAAUUAUCCAUAGUUAAACUCUCCACUAAAUCACUAAAUCAGGUACUAGCUGUGGCAUGUCUUUAAAAAUAUAUAUAUUUGAAUGUUACCUGGAAAUUACCGAUAUAAUGGUUUCAAGCUGAUAGGGAUUUUUUGAACUUAAGUCUAGCAUAAACAUUAUCCCAAGUGGAUGUGUUUUAAAAUUUAAAUCUCAUCUAAGAAAACUUCCUGGUUUGUGAAAGGUGCAGGAUUGUGAUGAUAGCUGAGGAAAUGCCAGAGAGAAUUUUUGGUAGAGAAUAAGAGAACGACCUGUGAAUUUGGUGUUAACCAGCAGUCUCGGCAUAUACACACUUGCUCCUUACCUAAGCAUUUCUGAUAUGUGGGUGCUUUUUCUGUUGAUUAUGUGUCUUUGGUUAUUUGUCAUUUUCAAAAAGUUUCCUCAACAGAGGACCCUCACUUUGAAAUUGAGUCCCUGUGGCAUGUAGCCGGGAUACCAAAAGUUUUCAGCACCAGAUGCAGAGAGAGAUCAGUCCCUUUGGGAUCUUGUUAAUUCUUUCUGUGCAGCUACUUUUGUGCUGUGAGGUCUCUUUUACAUCUUGCUCCUAUUGGCCAUAGCUGACAUAUGUCUGUAUACAGUCCUGUAGUGGGGUACUUAAUUGUUACAACCUGAAAAGAUUAUUUCUUGUAAUAUAUAAAUAAAUUUUUAUGUUUUUCUCUCUUCUCUCUUUUUCAAGGGAACUGUAGAAUUGGACAAAUCAACACUUAGCAUGUCCCCCUCCUGUAGGUCUUGUUGACCUUGGUGGCAUCGUGGAGGUCAUAUGUUCAUGGAGAUAAACAGUUGUUGAACGGUUUACUCCAGGUGGUAAAAACACAUGGAUGGGAAAGUGAUUUGGGCUGUGCGUAUCUUGGUUUUUUAAAAAAUCAUUUUUAUCGAGCGUUUAUUGUGAUCAUGGCCAAAAAUAAAAUAAUUCUUUGACUUUUUUUUGAAAUACUAUACACACAUUUCUAUAUUACAUUUUUAAGAAUUGCUUAUUUUUCAAUUUUUCUAGUAUUUUUUGUAUAUUCUACCACAGGUGAACAACUCAUUUUUUGGGUGACAUUUUUAGAGCUUGCUUGAGGGGCACUAGAAAGAAGGGCAGUAAUGUGAUGUGAAUGUUUCAGCUUAUGAAAACAGCUGUGCUCUACUUUAAGAAAUUUGACAUUUAAAAGUGUAAGAUUGCAAAACAAAUUAAUUACUAGUUGGUUAUAUUAUGUGAGAAUUUUAAAAAAGGGAUUCACUAAAAGUUGCUUUCAAAUACUUAAUCCCUUUAAAUGGUAUUUAUCAAAUGUGAUUUGAUUUGUGAAUAAUCAGUUGGCAUACAACAAUUUAGGAACAGAUUUUUGGCAUAUGUAAGGGUUAUCAGUGUGUUCUUUGAAUUCUCUCUUUAGACCAAAAGUAUUUGGGGACAAAGUUAAAUUCAGUGUUGUUCCACUUAUAUGCCACCUAUAAUGGUUUAACUGAGUGGGAAAAUUGUCAUCUGAUUUAUCCCAUAUCAUUUAAGGCAGCGGUGUCCAAUCUUUUGGCCUCCCUGGGCCACAUUGGAAGAAGAAGAAUUGUCUUGGGCCACACAUCAAAUGCAUUAACAAUAACUAAUGAGCUUAAAAAAUUGCAACAAAAAUUUCAUAUUUUUGGAAAGUUUACACAUUUGUGUUGGGCCUCAUUCAAAGCUGUCCUGGGCCAUGGGUUGGACAAGCCUGAUUUAAGGAGUACAUUGAAGCCUAAUUAAAAUGCUUUUCACCACUGAGUAAAAUUUUAUGAUCAGGUUUGUCAGGAACCUCAUCCAAGGUAGUUUAGUUAGUGGAGUAUCAAAAGCACCUUGUUGUCAGACACUCUCACUAGGACAGUGGUCCCCCAGCAGAGGCCAACAAGCAGUUAUACCCAAACUUCAGCAAAAUCAAAAUAAGUAGAUUUGGUCUAAAGUCCACAAGCAGUAAAAACCGUUACCUUGAAAUUUUCUGUAGGUGCAAAUUAUUCUUCAGAAUUAAAGGCUUGAUUUUCCUAAGCUGUAAUUCUGUUUGAGUCACUUGUGAAAAAUGCUAUUUUGGUAAAAGAACAACUAUGUAUUCUUUCAAAGGAGUUUUUUCCCUUUGUGUUAAUGCAUUUGCGUUUAUUUGGAAUUGCAGGAGAUGAUGAAUGAAGUACUUGGGAAGUUUAAUUCAGAAAUCAUUUUGCUUUGCUUAUGUAGAAAAAAAAGGAAUGUGAGUUAAUAGGAGAACUUAUUUGUGGGUUAGUUCGUACUUCAUGUGGGGAUAAGGAGGAAAGGGAGGAAGUAGCCGCAAACUUUAUUAAGGAUAACUAAUCAAGUUUCAUUUGAUUUAUACUGUUCAUGCCUGGCUUGGGUAACAGUGACGCCUUCACCUUUUCCUAGUUUUCGAGAAAUUUUAUUCUUAGAGAAGGGGUUUGAAGGAUAAGAGCUAAGCAUCAGGGCAUACAAGAAGUAAAAAUUAUCUUCAGAAUGCUUAAUAGUAUUUUGUUUUGUUUUUAUGCAUUAGAAAGCAAGAAAUUAUUUUAAUACUGAAUAUGGGUCAAAGCCCAACUUCGGGAUACUGGGCAUGGUUUCAUACCUCUUAGCAAAAUUGAAUAUUAUAAAAAUGGAAGGAACAGCUUGAAUGGUGCCAUUGAUUUUUUUAGUACAGGCUCUUAGUUCCUCAAUUGAACAAAUGAGUAAAAAUGAAGAUUAAAGAAGAGAUGAUAUUAAAAGAAGUGUUUUCCAUUUUUUAAAAAAAUCCCAAGGGACUGUCUCAAAUGAUUGUUAAUUUCAGAACAUAGAUUAAAAAGUACAUUACAUUGGAUUUAUGAUUAAUGAGGACACAAUUACAAUUUUUAAAAAAUACAUGUAAAAAAGGUGAGUAUACUACUGCAGUUUACAAAUAUUUGUGCCAAGAUAUGUGAGGCUAGCGGUAAUGAUUAGAAAUUAUAAUUGGAAGUGAAGACUGAUUUAUGUUCUCAAUUUCAUUAUUUAAGCCAAUGUCACUUUUAAAAUGUCACUUAAUUUUUCUGUUCCCAAUGUUCUUUUCAAUAAAAUGCAAUCAUUAGUGCACCAUACUUUAUGUAAACUGGGGUUUCAAAAUAAUAUUAACUAGACUUUUUUUUUUUUUUUUUUUUUUAAGACAGAGUCUCACUCUGUCACCCAGGCUGGAGUGCAGUGGCGCGAUUUUGGCUCAAUGCAACCUGCGCCUCCCAGGUUCAAGCAAUUCUCCUGCCUCAGCCUCCCAAGUAGCUGAGAUUACAGGCACCCACCACCACGCCUGUCUAAUUUUUGUAUUUUUAGUAGAGACGGGAUUUCACCAUGUUGGCCAGGCUGGUCUCAAACUCCUGACCUCAGGUGAUCCGCCCGCCUGGGCCCCCCAAAGUGCUGGGAUUACAGGUGUUAGCCAGCGUGCCCAGCCAAUUUACUAGAUUUCUUAAGCAUAAAAUAUUAUCUAAUAAUAUGUAUAUGUAUGGGAUUUUUUAAAAGUUUAGAUUUUGUGAUCUGCAGAACUGUAGGCAACAGUUUUUAAAAAUAAGAAAGGCUGAGUUCAGGCCGGGCGUGGUGGCUCAUGCCUGUAAUCCCAGCACUUUGGGAGGCCGAGAUGGGCAGAUUGCCUGAGCUCAGGAAUUCAAGACCAGCCUGGUGAAACCCUGUCUCUACAAAAAUAACAAAACAAUUAGCUGGAUGUGGUGGCACAUGCCUGUAGUCCCAGCUCCUUGGGGGGCUAAGGUGGGAGGAUCGCUUGAGCCCAGGAGGUUGAGGCUGCAGUGAGCCGAGAUCACGCCACUACACUCCAGUCUGGGAUGACAAAGCAAGACCCUGUCUCCCUCUCCGGACACCCCUAAAAAAGAAAGGCUGAGUUCAGAGUUUUAGUCAUGGGUGACCCUAUAAAUUGCAAUUUCUUUUUCUCCCUAAAGGGUUUUCUUUCACUAUUACAUGUUUGUGUUUUCCUGAUUCCACUCAUGCUACUGUUAGGUGUUGAAUCAUCUUACCUAUAGCGUCAAUACAAAGUUCAUUUGUAAAAACUGUUCCGUUUAUUUUCUCCCAGCUGUUUCAUCUGAGAAAUUGUUUGAAUUUCAGUUGCCGAAUGUAGUUUAAUCGGUUACUCUAAAUAGAAAGGUUAUUGCAAUUUUCACAAACUAGGGGAAAUAUAAAUUUAUCUUAAGUUUAUGAACAUUUUUAUAUUCCUGUGGGGACAACUAAGCACAGUAUGUAUAAUUUAAUAUCUCUGUUGGCAUUUGUUCUAAGUUAAAUUUAUUUGCUGUAUUGUUAAAAUCAAUGUAGUAAGGUGUACAGUCUUUUAAAAACAAAUGUUCUUCUGUGGAAUAUUUUUCAAAAGGACCUGAAAAACAUGCUCUUAAAUAGAUGGAGUGGAAAUUUUACUAUUAAAUUGAAUAUAUAGUUAAAUGUGUGAUACUGGUAUUGUUUUGAUUGUUUUUAUUUUACAUGUGAGGAUUUUUUACAUGUUUCUGUGGAACUACGUUUAAGUAGGUUUUAAUUUUGAUUUAUAAACAAGCUUCUCUAAAAGAAAAAAGUUGUUUUGUUCUUUGUGAUUAUAUGGUAGUCCUCAGACUUUUGUAGUUGAAAGAAGUAGAAAUGAGUGAUUUAUUAAGCUGUUUAUGUAAAAUGACUAGUUGGAGCAUGUGAUGUAAUUUAUUUUUACUAUAAUGUGCGGAGAUGUCUUCAUCCCAAACAAAUUUAUAGCUGAAUCAUUUGCUAUUUUUUGCAAAUUUAGGGAAUCUGGAAUGUGCCCAGAAAUGAACUGUUGAUUGCCAAGUGUUCGAUUGAGUAAAUAUCAUAUGUAAAUGGUAUUUUGCUUGUAAUGACAUACUGUUACUGAUUAAGGACCAUUUCUUUUUUUUUUUUUUUUUGAAACGGAGUCUGGCUCUGUCGCCCAGGCUGGAGUGCAGUGGCGCAAUCUCCGCUCACUGCAAGCUCCGCCUCCCGGGUUCACGCCAUUCUCCUGCCUCAGCCUCCUGAGUAGCUGGGACUACAGGCGCCCGCCACCACGCCCGGCUAAUUUUUUUGUAUUUUUAGUAGAGAAGGGGUUUCGCCGUGUUAGCCAGGAUAGUCUUGAUCUCCUGACCUCGUGAUCCGCCCGCCUCGGCCUCCCAAAGUGCUGGGAUUACAGGCGUGAGCCACCGCGCCCGGCCUAAGGACCAUUUCUUAAGUAUGCCUGUAAGUAAAUAUACUACACAUAUUGGUCAAAUGAUGUAUUGACAGCUUUAAUUUGUAGCGUAUGCUUCUCUCACUCCUUUCUCCUUUUAGUAAUUGUCAGUUGUUUGUCUUCAGCCGUAUUCUGUGAGUGAACUUUUAAUGCGCUGAUAGAGUGCUCCAGGGUUGUUGUUUUCUAAUGUUUUAUCUGAUGGAGUAAAGAAAUAACUAUCUGAGAUCCUUGUGUAACUCUUAUUCUGUGUUAAACAUUGUUUUGAACAUUUCUUUUCAAUCUGUUAAUUAUACAGCAGAUGAUUCUUUAAAAAUUCUUAAGACUGAGUGAUUGUGUUCCCCACAAAUGUUAGUACUGGGAGGGAAGGGGGUAAAGGUAAAGAGAAAGAUCAUAGGGAUUAGUUUAGAUUGUAUAAAGUAAGUGUAAUUGUUUCGUUCUAAAACAUGUUGAGCUAAUCAUUGUAUGCCUUUUCCCUGGGAUUAUAACCUUGAUUUUUAAUUCACGCUUCUCACUGUGAAGAGUCAGGAGUAGUGAAUUGUAAGAGAGGCAUAUGUACCUCUUUAACCAGUUUUACAUGUUAUUGCUGGGAAUAUUAGAUGGCAAUAAGGAAGAUAAAUAGUUUCACAAUGAUGAUCAUUUUUAGUAAUCACAUUUAGAUUUCCAAAUUUUAUAAGGUGGAAGAAUAGACACCAUAGCUAUAGAUGGAGAAGGGCUUUUAGGCAGAAGGUCGUUGUUAGGAAAAUUCAAGUUUAUCAAUCUUGGAAAAAAAAUUACAGUUAUGCCAGUUACAUUCUAUGCCUUACAGCACUGCACUGUACCAGUUUUGAAUAUUCUGUGCCCAUAAAUACACUAGUAUUUGUCCAAACAUGAAUUCUGACUUUUAGGUUAGAAAAUGUGUUCAUUUAAAUUAUAGUUUUAACUUGAGUGAAAAGGCUGGUAAUUUUUAUCUUCCUUUUUCUGUAUUAUAAUUUUUUGUCAUUAAUUUUGAAGAUCUCAUGCUCUAUAUGAUUAGUUCUUUAUAUGACUAUUUCUGUAAUUGAUGAACAACUACUAGAAUGAAUUAUUGUACUUGAGCACUUAGAAUCAUGUCAGGAGAGGCAUGAAGUAAGUAGAACGUAUUUGUGUAGAGAUAAUAAAUUUACUUUCUAAAGCAGUGAUUUUGAAACUCUUUUGCCGAGAGUGUGCUGGAGGAAGUCAAGCAUUUCAUCCCGGUUUCAACCAGUGCUGUUUUAUUUUGAUUAAUUUUAAGCGUGGAAGUUUGCAUAGUAUUUCAGUUGAGCAAGGUUCUGUUGUUUAAAAAUACGGUAGCCUCUAUUGUUACCAUAUUUGAUCUUAUCACUUGCCUGCUUAAAUCCUUGCUAUUUUUUUAUUGUUAUUACGACUGAUAAGACUUUUCUUUCCCUAGCUCCAACUUUAUUCUUUAUCUCUGAUCACUUUUUCCUUUCCAUGUAAACCCUGCAUUCUAAUUCUACUUAAAUUGUUUGAUGUUCCCUGAGAGGAAAAUGUUAUUUUUACAUCUGCAUGCCUUUGCACAUGGAACUGCCACCAUUCUCACUUGAGCUAGGCAGCACUCAAUUCCCUUGGAACCUUGGUCAUCUUUCCAUAAAAGCAGUUAUUACAUUGUUUUGUAACCGUGGCCUCCCUUGAGAGCAGAGACCAUCUAAUUUAUCUUGUAUUCAUACUACUUGGUGUUUAUUCAGUAUUCAAAUGUCUGUUGAAUUAUUGCAUUUAGAAUUUGAGAAGUAGUAAAAUUACUUUAAUAAACACUAAUGUGAAUAAAAUAUCCCAGAUCUAGUUCUGUGCGAAAGAGUUUUAGUGACAGUGUCAGACAUUAUGCUAAAUAUAUAAAAGGCACCCGUUUGCACUUAUCAUGAAGUAUAAUAAAUCCAAAAUAUUUUUUAAAAUUAUGUGAGGUUCUAGUGGCUUAAGUGAUAUCUUAGAUUCAGUGAUCUGAUCUUAAAAGUUGAUUGUGAAAGCAUUUUAAUAAUUCUAUACAGCCUUGGCUGCCUGUGAUAAUAUUUUAUAUGUGAUUAAAGCUGAUAGACUUAAAGGGGCCUUCAAGUGUUAAGAUAUGUAAUUCAGCAAUACCAACUCUAAAGGUAGAAUGGAACCUGGAGCUAUCCUGCCUGAAUUCCUAUCACUCUCCUGUCUCUCAGUAGCUGUGUUGUCUUAGGCAAGUUACUUAACCAUUCUAUACCUCCUUUUUCUCAUCAGUAAAAUGAAGACAAUGAUAAUAUCACUUUAUAUGGCUGUGGUGAAGAGUAGCCAGGAAUUAAUGUAUAUAAGCACUUAAAAGAAUGCCUGACAUACAGAAAAUACUCAAUACAUGUUAACUGUAAUUAAUUUGAAGUGGCUUCUUAAAUCAAUAUUUAUUGUGCAUCAUUUUCAUCUUUUAAAGAUAAUUGCUUUCAUACUUGAGCAUCUAAUUUUUUUAAAACUUAAGAUUUUUAGUUAGUUACUAUGUUUUAGACUGGCAGUUGUUUCAGUACUUUCCAAAAGUACUAUCUCUACUGAGGUAUUGUCCUGUCUCCCAGUGAAAUGUAGGCUGUUCCCGUUGGAUGGAUUGACAUGGGAGAUUUGAAACUAGUUCUCCUGAUUUCUGAGCUUAUCAUUGAGUUCCCAUGACCAGGUGUUGGUAGUGUCCACAACAGAGCAGGAAGACAAAUAGUACAGAAUUCCAGUGGCAAGUUCUUAAGCCUUAACCUGUACUCUAAGUCAGUCCUAAACUUUCAUAUUCCUUAGUAGAGAACAGAUGUUCCCCUUUUUUCCCCCCACAUUUUCCUUUUUUGGCUUGGGAGAAUAGAUUUUUUAAAAAUCUGAAUUUAUAUUCCAAAAAGGCAUGUGCAAGUUAAUUUUCCUAAGUCAAUGAAGCCGCUUUUUAAGCUUACUUUGUAAGAUGCAUACCUGCAGUGAGAGAAGUAGGUAGGGCUUUAGUAAUUUGUGUCAGGAACCAUGUCCUAUUAAAUCCUGUGAAAAUAUGCACAUGUAGUACACAAAGAAAAAUUUAAGGGAAGAAGAGUUUUUUCCGAGUUAUUUUAUAAAGUAUUCUUUAUAAAAGUAUAUUUCUUGUAAUAAUCCUCCAUCUGUCCUUCUAGCCCACCUUUACUUUCUCACACUUAUGCUCUCAUAACAAUUAAAAUAUAAUCAAAGUUACUUGGGUAACUUAAAAAUUUUUCAUUAUAGGAAGGAAAUGUGUUUUGAGAAUCAGAAAUUUUUCAAAUGUUAAUAAAUUUUAGUGUUUUUUAUGCCAGCUGUGAGUUGAAGAUGAGGGGCUGGGAUAUAAAGCUAAAUCAGGUACUUAUCUUUAUUACUUAUGACCUACUAGGGUGUCCAGAGUAUGCAGAGAACAUAUGGGAAUUUGGAAGCUGGGAAUGGAGACUGGAAAAGUGCUGGAUUUUGAAUAGUGCCAGGAAAUAAAGGAAGACUUAGCAAGGGAUCAUUUUUCAAUGCCAGUGACAUGCUGUGUAAUAGUCUACCAUGGGAAAUUUGAAUGCUUAUACAAUUGGUCAGUAUACUAAUAUUGUCUUGUAAUUUGAACACUAACUCUUAAUAUUAACAAUUUUUUUCUCAACAGCCGUCGUAGGAACUUUUAAAAUAGGUUUUGCAUUUCCCCUGAAAAUGGUGAGUCAGGUCAUAUUAGGAAAAAUAAAUUCUGGAAUAAAUACAAUUUUGAUUAAACCUGUUUUCUCUAUAAAAACCCAAGACGCUGUAUCUAUCUUUAAUGUUAUCUAUUGUUAAAAUUUCAUUUCCCUCAACAGCAUGCGUUUCCAUGUUUAUUAGACCAAACAACUUCUUGUUUUACUUCUUACCUUUGUUUUUCCUUGUUGUUGUUAUUUAAUUAGAAAAGAAAUGCUGUUUGGGCCUUUUCAUAUGCCUCAAAAAUGUUUGGUUACACAGAGGAGUGAGUUAGAUUUAUAGGACUCACACCCAAUUUGAUCUCCUCAAGUGCAUUUCUAACCAUGUUUUCAUCCACUUUUCCUUGUUUUAGGUUUCUCAUAGAAAUAGCUUUUCAUUGAGCUAAAUGUAUUUCCUCUCUUACUCGUUCUUGGAAAUCUAGGACUAUGUAUGUGAAACUUCUUAUUCUUGUACACAAUAACUCUUAAGUAUUUGAAAAUGACUGUUCUACUUCAGUCUUCUUUUUUGCCAAACUGAGGGAAAAAAUUCUUUUUUUUUUUUUUUAAACUGCAUGCAUGUGACAUGGUUUACAGACCUUUCCCCAUCCAUAUCGCUCUACUCAUGACAAAGUUUUUGUCAGUUUACCUCUGAAAAUACAGUGGCCAGAACUGAACUGACUACUUCCGAUGUGGUCUGACCAUUGCUGAAUACAGUGAAGCUAUUAUCUAGGAUACUGUGUUUCUAUUAAUGUAGUCUGAAAUUUGCAUUGCAUUUUUUUGGCAGCCACAUUACCCUUUGAUCACAUUCAGCUUAUGAUCAACUAAAAUCUUGUCUUUUUUCCAUGUGAAUUACUUUAAGUCUAAUCUUUGUCACUCUUUACUUGCCAGUUGAUGCUUUGAAAGUAAAUGUAGGAUAUUAUGUAUUGCAUUACUAUAAAACUUUAAAUGAAUUUAUAUAUCUGAAGAUGUCACCAUUUGUAUAAAAUAGCACAGUUUUCAUGGUGUUUUCACAUCUAUUUAAUCUUCACAACAACCAUCUGAGAAUCAGAAAAACUGACUUUCCACUAAGUCUAGAAUUGGCACAUGUAGAACUUCAUUGCAAGCUUUUUGAUUCCAGAUCUCAUGCUCAUCUCAUCAUUAUUCAUUCACUUAAUAUGCAUUUAGUGUGUCCAUUCAUAUAUGGUAGGCACCAUGUGGUGCUGGUGUGUCAGGGGCGAGACACAUUACAGUCUCUAUCCUUGUGUUUAUGAUCUGGUGUAUAAAUACUACCAAUUACUAGGCACUUUUCAUAAGGAAGGCACUGUGGUAGACUAUUAUUUCAAAAAUAUUUAUUGCUUCUCUCUAUCAGGGUUCUUUCUGUAGUCGGAUUAUACUUCUCAUUCUGUUGACAUCAGGUUUGACCAUUUGGCUUUCCUUGACCAAUAAAAUGUUAAAGUGACAUGUCCCAUGUUUGAGCACAUAUUUUUCAUCCUGUGGUUCUGCCAGUGGCCCUUGACCCUCUGUCAUGGAACCAGCAUGACUUAGCUAUGGCUGGUCCCAGAAUAAUGGAGCAGAGCUGAAGCCAAUCUGUGAUAAGUAUAUAAGUGUGAGAUAAAUACUGUGCUGUAAGGCACCAUGAUUUUGGACAUUUGUUACCAUGGCAGAAUAUAGUUCAAGCGAUGAUACUGGCAUCACUCAAGGUGCUGUAUGAUGAUGAUAAGACUUGGGCAUUGUCCUAAAGGAGCUUACAGUCUUGGUAGAUGUAUUACAUUUCCACAGGUUAUUGGGAGUUGAGGAAAAGGAGAGUAAUAUUACAUAAGGAUCUUUGAAGUUGAGGAUCUUUCCUGACCUCCAUCUCAUCCCUAGGCUGAAUCAGUCAAUAUGUUUUAAACCCUGGGUUUGUGAUCCACUACUCACUGUCACAACCUCUUAUUGUCCAAAAUUUGAUAGGCAUAUUUUCUAUGCCCUCAUUCAAAUCACCUUUUUUAAAACAAACAUUUAAGAGGAUGAACUUCUACAGAAUUGUGAUUAUGAGCUUCCUUCAUAAAUCUAUUAAUCAGCAUUUAAUAGCAAGCUAAGAAUAUACCCAGUUAAACUGUUUCUCUAUUAUCCAGAAAGAUAUCAUGAUGUCCUAGAUUCUAUGUGAAUUUUAUUUGUGAGCAUUUAAAUUUCCCAUUGUCAUGUCUAUGUGUGCUUCUCACUCUGCAUGGGAUUUUAAAGAAACAAAGCCUUGGCUGGGAUUCCAAAAGGAAUCUUUUUUUUUUUCUUCCCCUCCGAGAAGCUAAGGAAUACAUACAUGGCCAGGGUUCAGAAGAGUUUUGAAACCUUUGAAAUAAUUACAUGUAAAAUUUUAUGUAAAUAUACAUUGUUCUGGUCCCUAGCUUUCAUCAUAUUAUCAAAGGAAAUCAAAAACUCCCCUGGAAGGUUGUAAACCCUGUUGAAGAGUGAGACUAGAAGUAGAACAAGGAUCUGAAGAGCACCAAUAUUUAAGGGACAAGUGGAAUAGGAGCCCAGAAAGAAGUCAGAGAAAGUGUAGUUAAUUAGAAUAUUUGAGGAGCGAGAGCAAAUGUAAUGUCAGAGAAACCAGUUCCUUAUUAAUCAGAGCUUUUGUGGCGUGUUGGGGGGCGGCGGGGGGGGGUGGUAAAUCCGGCAGUUCUCAUGGCGUUUCAUUGUGAUUCCUUGGAAAUUACCAAAUCUGCAGAUACAUUUAAUGUCUUGGGAUAAUAUUUUUCUUGACCUAUAAACAUGAAUUUAAAGUGAUUACUUUUCUUUUGCUGUCUCCUUCCUAUCUUGGACUUUGAUUUUUCUUUUAAUCCGUAUCCUUCACAGAUUAAAAGAUCAUUCUUUUUUUUCCUUUUUUUUUUCCUUCACCCCCUUCCUCUUCCCCUUCCCACUCCCAGACCGAUUCAAGGCAGGAGUAAAACAAUUAUGUAGGUUAUCUGUUAGCAGUUUUAUUGCAAGUAAGUAACCUGGCUUUUGUUUGUUGUUGUUGAGAAUGUAUUUAAGUCUUUUUAUUGUCCUUAACACUUUUGGCAAGUCUCUAUUUUUAUUGAAACAACUUUAUUGACAUAUAGUUGUUAUACAAUAAAUGGCAUAUAUUAUAAUGUGCAGUUUGUUAAGUUUUGACAUGUGUUUAUCCAUGAGACCAUCACCACAGUCAAGACACUAAACAUAUACCCCCAAAAGUUUUCUGAUGUCCCUUGAUAACCCUCCCCUGCAUUCUCUAGGCAACCAUUAUCUGUUUUCUUUUACUUUACAUUGGUAUGCAUGUCUUAGAAUACAAUAUGCACUCCUUUUGUCUGGCUACUUUCACCCAGCAUUAUUUGGAGAUUCAUCCAUGUUGUACCAUGCACCAAUAGUUACUCUUUCUUAUUGGUAAGUAGUAUUUCAUUGUAUGGAUAUACCACAUUUUGUGUAUCCAUUCACCUUUUGAUAAUCUAUUUGGGUUGAUUCCAGUGUUUGACUUUUAAAGUAAAGCUUCUAUGAAUAUGUAUGUACAUGUCUUUGUAUGGACAUAAACUUUUCAUUUCUCUGGGCAUACACCUAGGAGUAGAAUGGCUGAAUCAUAUGGUAGCUAUAUGUUCUAUAUCUACCUAGUUUCUUCUUAAACUGCCGAUGGUUUUCCAAAGUGGCGGUACCAUUUUACAUUCCCACCAGCAUUAUGCUAUCAUUUGGUGCAGUCAGUCUUUUUAAUUAUUGCCAUUCUAAUUAGUGAGUAGUGGUGGUUUUAAUUUGCAUUUCUCUAAUGACUGCUGAUGGUUAGCAUCCUUACAUAUGUUUAUUUGCCAUCCCUUUCUCUUUUGGGAAGCAUCUGUUCAAAUCUUUUACCCGUUAAAAAAAUCUGGUUGGUUGUUUUCUUACUGCAUUCUGAGGGUUCUUAUGUAUAAAUCCUUUAUCAAAUUUAUGAUUUGCAAAUAUUUUUCCAGUCUAUGGUUUGUCUCUUCAUUCUCUUAGCAAUGUCUUUUGAAGGGCAAAGGUUUUAAUUUUGAUAUCUAAUUUAUCAGUUCUUUUAUGGAUUGUACUUUUGGUACUGUAUCUAAAAAUGUUUUUUUGCGUAAUUCAAGGUCAACAAAGGUUUUCUCCUGUGCUUUCUCCCUGUAGUUUUAGGUUUUCUAUCUAAAUAUAGUGAUCCAUUUUGAGUUAAGUUUUGAGUAUAGAAAACUUUUCUAUCUGGAUGUUCUUAAAACACCAUUUGUUGAAAAUUUAUCCUUUUUCUAUUGAAUUCCCUUUUCGCCCUGUGAAUAAUCAGUUGACUUUAUAUAUGUAGUAGUUCUAUUUUGGACUCGAUUUUGUUCCAUUGAGGUAUUUGUUGAUCUUGACACCAGUGCUGCACUGCGUUGAUUAUUCAGUGUUGAAAUCAUGUAGUCUUCCAAUUUUCUUUUUUUCAAAGUUAUUUUUGCUAGUCUAGGUAUUUUACAUUUCCUUAUGAAUUUUAGAAUAAGUGUCAGUUUUUUUAAAAAGCUUGCUUGACGUUUUGAUUGGAAUUGCAGUGAAUCUGUAGGUCAAUUUGGAAAGAAUUGACAUUUAAAAAUUAUUGAGUCUUCUGACCCAUGAACAUGGUAUAGCACUCGGUUUAGGGCUUCAUUAAUUUCUCUCAGUAAUGUUUGGUAGUUUAUAGGAUGCAAGUGUUUUAUAUUUUGGUCUCGUAUAUGCCUCUGUAAGUUGGGUUCUGCAGAGAAACAAUAAGGGUGUGUUGUGUGUGUGUGUGUGUGUGUGUGUGUGUGUGUGUGUGUGUGUAGAGAGAGAGACAGAGAGAUUGAUUUUAAGAAAUUGGCUCGUGAUUGUGGUGGGUGGCAAGUCCAAAAUUCAUAGAAUUGGCAGGCAGGAUGGAACCUUAGGCAGGAUUUCUCUUACAGUCUUGAGAUAGAAUUCCUUCUUCCUUAGGUUAUCUGGUUUUGCUCUGAAGGCCUCAUUUGAUUGGAUGAGGCCCACCCAGUUAUGGAGGAGAGCUCUUUUUCUUAAUGUCAACUGAUAUCGUUAAUCACAUCUACAGAAUAGCAAUAGCUAGUGUUUGAUCAACUGGGCAGCAUAGCCUAGCCAAGUUGACACAUUAAGUUAACUACUAAUAUCAUUGCAAUCUCUGAAUAUUUCAUAUUUUAAAAUACUAUUGUAAAUGGUAUACUUUUUUUUUUUUUUGAGAUGGAGUCUUACUCUGUCGCCCAGGCAGGAGUGCAGUGGCGUGAUCUCAGCUCACUGCAACCUCCGCCUCCCGAGUUCAAGCCAUUCUCCUGCCUCGGCCUUCUGAGUAGCUGGGAUUAUAGGCAUGCACCACCAUGCCCAGUUAAUUUUUGUAUUUUUGGUAGAGACUGGGUUCCACCAUAUUGGCCAGGCUGGUCUCGAACUCCUGACCUCCUGAUCCACCUACUUUGGCCUCUCAGUGUUGGGAUUACAGGCAUGAGCCACCGUGCCUGGCCAGUGGUAUGCAUUUUUAAGCUCAGUUUCUGAUUGAUGCUAGUUCACUAUUGCUUUUUAAAAAAAUACUUUAGCCUUCUUUUCAUUAUUAAACUCAUAUGACUAGCAGCCUUUUCAUUUGAAAUUAGGAUUACCCUCUAUUUUUAGACAUAUCCUUUAAAAAUAUGAAUUUUUUAAAGAAAAGUCCUAAUGUUGUUACUUAAUCUCUCACUUUUUUUUUUCUUUUUACUGGAAUCAUCUGACAGAAAUGGCAAUUUCAUUUCAAGAGUCUUGUCUUAUUUUUCUGGGCCAUGUUCUGGUUGUUUUUUUCAUCACAGGAUUGUAACAGUCCUUAAAUAUUUUAGAGAUUAAAAGUCUAGGUCAAUUUAGAGCGUAAUUGGCAAAAUAGACAUGUUACCAAAAACAGAGAUAUAGGAAGUUUGGGAGAGAAGUUAAGGUUCAUAUUUUAGGUAUGACCUUUCUGCUAGUCUCUUUCUUUGAUAAAGUCAUUUAAUUUCUUUGAGUCCUAGUUCCUCAUCUGUAAAGUAGAGUAAUAUCCACUUCCUGUGGAGUUGUCAUGAAGUUAAAUGAGAUGCUUUGUGUAAAGAGCCUGGACUAGUGCUGCUAAAUAGAUGCAGCUCCCUUUACUAUAUUUUUAUUUAUUCAGUAAAUAUUUGACACUCACUAUAUGCCAGACACUGUUCCAGACUCUGGAAUUACAGGAGUGAAAAGAUAGGCAACAUUCCUAUUCUUACAGAGCCUCUAUGUUGGCUGUUCUGACAGAAGAGGAAGAUAAACAAGGAAAGGAAUAAACUAAACAAUUUCAGAUUGUAGUAAGAAGUGUAAAGAAAAUCAAAGAGUGCUUGGUAAUAAAGAAUUGCUGUGGUGAAAGCCCACUUCAGACUAAGCAGUCAGGGAAGACCUCUUUAAAAAGGUGACGUUUGAGUAGAAAUGCCCUUAGGAUUUUGGAGAAACUAGGCAUGUGGAGAUCUGAGUGAAAAAGUUUCCUGGCAGAGAGAAGAGAUAGUGCAAAGCCUCUAAAGUGAGAAAAAUGUGACAAAUUGAGAGAAUUGAAUGAAGCCUAGAGGUGCUGAUUGCAAGUAGUGGAGAAGUCAGAGAGGACCAGCUAGUGUAGGGUCUUACAAGCCACAAUAAGAAGAAUGGAUUUUAUUCUAGGUGCAGAGAGAAGCCACUGGAGGGUUUUAAAACAGAGGUGUUGUGAUCAUUAGGUGGAAGUGUUGCUGUGGACUUUCAGAAAUGAGAACUUAGCUGUGAAACAUUAGCAAACUAAAUACUAGCAACUUGGAUUUCUAGUUGGCCAAGAAACAUGAGGGUAAACAACUUAUUUUCCCUGAUAAAAAAAUCCCAGCAAGUCUCUAACAAAAGCAAGUCUAGGUUAUCUAGAGCAAAUACCAUUUUAUAUCUUUUUAAUUUUACUAAGACUUGUUAUGCAAUUAUAGAUAUUACAGAUGUUUUCAAAAAUAGUGCUUUGUGGAUUGUUUUCCUUUUAUGAGUCCAUGUGGCAAUUGACUAGCAUAGCAGUAAAAAGUACAACUCUGGUUUCAGAUACGAGCAUGAUGAUUGAUCACAUAGAAGCAUUAAGUUAAUAUUAACAAGGAUCUAUUGCCAGAAUGUAUUUCAUUAUAGGAUUUUGAAAUUAUUUAGCUGAAUGGACCUUAAGAGUUGGUCUUUUUUCCUUUAUAGAAGAGGGAACUUAGAUUCAAAGGGGUUAAGUGAUUCACAUUAUUUAAACAUUUAAAAAAUAAACCUGGAUUUUACUAUUCUUCUAGUUGUAGGAUGACAGGUUCUUGAGGCAAAAUGUGGAAUGAGAGAAGAUAGUGACAUCUGUUUGCUUUGUAUCUGCUGCCUUCUCUGUUGCUCAUUUAUUUUACAUCUAUGCUGUUUCACACUUAUCUUUGGACUUAGGGUAUUGGGAUGUGUCAAACAGUUGCUCCCUUAGUGUGGAAACAGACAAGUAAACACAGUUGCUACACAAGUUGCAGACAUCAUAUGAUAAAGGCAAGCUUAGUGUGUUGUGGAGGGCAUGAUGGGUGUGUCUGUUAAGUGUCCCUGUUUAGAAUCUGUUUACAUACAGAGUUGAAUGUCCUUGGCUUCUCAUUUCAAUUUAAUAUAUAUUAUAUUGCCUUGGCUGUUAGGCCUUUCUUGCACUUGUUUGCCUCCCAGCCAUAAGCCAGUUUGAAGGCCACGAUCCAUCAGGUCUAGUGGGUUAAUCCAUGUCUGACCAGUAAGACCUACCUAUCUUGACAGUCACCAUGAUGACAGCAUGUCUUAUUUUAAAUAGAAACCUGGUUAGAGACUAAUAUAAGAAUAGUUGGUCUUGAAUAGAUGUAUUCCUUCUCUUAAGCGAGGUAGGUUUUAUUAAGCCUUGUAUUUUGAAAAAUCCUGAAAGGAAAUUGAGAAACAGCUAUCAUUUUGUUAAUUUUGGCUCCUUUUACUGUAUUUUAUUUUGAAGUAUAGCCAUUCCUAAGAACGCUAGCACAUGAGUUCAUUGUUGAUGUUAUAACAUAUUCUGAAUCUUAAAACAAGGUACCAAAAAUACAUUCAUAGAACAAGUAGAUAAAGUAGCACUGCUAUAAUUAGGGAAAAAUGGUAGUUUUCUUGUAAGCCCUUUCUCUUUCAAGAGCUUAUAAUUUUCUGUAAAAACCAAACAUUAUCCUUUGGGCACGUGUGUUUUAUUCUUUCUCUUGAUUCUGUGUUAUAAAGUUUGAUUAAAAAGGAAAGAUAUUAACUUUUUGUCUCCCACACAAAGAAUGUUCAUAAUUGUAAUUUUUGGGUAUGACUUGUUGCCAUACCCUUGAGCCUCCCUUUGUUUAAAGAGUAAUUAUAUAUAUAUAUAUAUUUUAAUCUAUAAAGAAGUAUCUUUGACGUGUGUGUGUGUGUGUAUGUGUAUAAAAUCAAAACGGCAUACAUUUUUGAGAAUAUUUAGUGAUUCCUGAAGACUGUAUUAUAGUUGUAUAAAGAAUUAGAUGGCAGGCCAGGCACGGUGGCUCACGCCUCUAAUCCCAGCACUUUGGGAGGCGGCUGAGGCAGGUGGAUCAACUGAGGUCAGGAGUUGGAGACCAGCCUGGCCAACAUGGUGAAACCCCGUCUCUACUAAAAAUACAAAAAAAUUAGCUGGGCGUGGUGGCCCACACCUGUAAUCCUAGCUACUCAGGAGGCUGAGGCAGGAGAAUCACUUGAACGGGGAAGCGGAGGUUGCAGUGAACUGAGAUUGCGCCAUUGCACUGCAGCCUAGGCAACAAGAGUGAAACUCUGUUUCAAAAAAAAAGAAUUAGAUGGCAAUAGCUUUAGCAAUCUAAUGUGGUAGGUGAUCUGGCAUUAUCUAUCUCUUUGGUCACAUGAGGAUAAGGCUGCCCAUGUCGGUUAUCCAUGUCCUGGGCCUUAGGAAGAAGGGAGCCAGAAUCUUAGAAAUUUGAACUGAGAAAAUUGAACGCAAGUUAGCAGCCUAAAAUAUAAAACCGAUAUAAAAAUACAACCAGAUUGUGUAUGAAUUAUUGUUUUCUCAUCUUUAUUUUGUGCAGAUCAAGAAACUGAACUGUGCAAGUAUUUUCUGUGAAAGGGUGAAUAAGCUAUCCAAAGUGAGUGAUUUUAGCCUGUGUAGAAAACAUCUCCAGCUGUGUUAAAUAUAAAGCUGUCAGUUCUUUGAAUAUCUCCUUGCAAUAAUUAAUCAUCCUUCUCAGUUAACAGCACAGACAGUACAGCACAGGUAAGAGAGUAGGCUCUGGAGCCAGUCUACCAAUGCUGUUGUGACUCUGGGUACAUUGCUUUCUGUCUCUCAUUUCUCAUUUACAAAAAGAGGAUAGAUAACACUAGUACCUACCUAAUAGUGUUGUUAUGGGGAUUAAAUUAGUUAAUAUAUAUAAAACACUUAGAACAUUGCCUCAGAGAUAGUAAGCACCAUGUAUUUACUGUUUGUUGCUGCAUAUCUAUUAUACGAUUGAUUGAUUGAUUGAUUGAUUGAUUGAGACAGAGUCUUGCUCUGUUGCCCAGGCUGGAGUACAGUGGCACAAUCUUGGCUCACUGCAACCUCUGCCUCUAGGGGUUCAAAUGAUUCUCCUGCCUCAGUCACCUGAGUAUCUGGGAUUACAGGUAUGCGCCACCAUGCCCAAUUAAUUUUUGUAUUUUUAGUAGAGACAGGGUUUCACCAUGUUGGCCAGGCAGGCUGGUCUCGAACUCCUGGACUCAAGUGAUUUGCCCGCCUUGGCCUCCCAAAGUGCUGGGAUUACAGGCAUGAGCCACUGCGCCUGGCUGUAUAAUACAUUUUAAGUGGCUGGUUUUAUUAGUUAAGUUCUCGCAGAGAAUUUGGCAUUUGAACUGGUCCUUGAAGGAUAAAUAGGAUUUGUAAAAGUGAAACAUAAAGAAUUGAAAAUGGUAAAAGCUAUGUGAAUUAAGUUGUUAAGAGGAAGUAAAGAAUCUUUGUUUCCAUUUAUUGCAUACUAGCUAUGUGCCUGCCUCUGAGCUUAGCAUUUGAUGAUCAUUACAUUAUCUUAUUCAAUCCUCAUAAUAACCCUCCAAGAUAGGUAUUUUAUUUUAUUUUAUUUUAUUUUAUUUUAUUUUAUUUUAUUGAUACGGAGUCUUGCUCUUGUCGCCCAGGCUGCAGUGCAGUGGUGCGAUCUCGGCUCACUGCAACCUCUGCCUCCCAGGUUCAGGCUAUUCUCCUAUGUCAGCUUCUCGAGUAGCUGGGAUUACAGGCGCCUGCCAUGAUGCCCAGCUAAUUUUUGUAUUUUUAGUAGAGACAGAGUUUCACCAUGUUGGCCAGGCUGGUCUUGAACUCCUGACCUCAGGUGAUCCACCCGCCUCAGCCUCCCAAAGUGCUAGGAUCACAGGCAAGAUAGGUAUUUUAAAUUGUCAUUUAACAGAUGGCAAAUAGCCACAGAAAAGUAAAGCCACUUUUUCAAACUCACGAAGUCAAAUGUUUGGCCUAGUUCUGUCAGACUGUAAAGCCCAUGCUUUUAAUUGUUAUCUAAUACUGCUUUCCUAUCAGUAGACUAUCAGAUUAUCAUUCCUAAAGAUAUUUAAAAGAAUGGGUGCUCUAGGGUUGGAGUUCAAAACAUUAAUAGAAUUUUACUAUUAAGGAUGCAUGUGAUCACUUUGCUGCUGUGAGAGACUCUGGAUGCUGUGUUUGCUGGUCAUUUCAAAGGCUGAAGAGAAACAGACAUGCCUGUCCUUGCCAAAUACAUUGUUUCCCCUAUCAUUCUGUCACUAUGGAAGUACUUGUUUUUUCUGACCUGGGAAUAAUGGUAUUGUGGUUAUUGGCGUUUUUGUUAUCUUUCUUACUAGAAAUUAUGCAGAUAUCCCCAAUUAUAUCCAGAUGCACACCUUAGAUUCCAAAUUUUGUUGCCUGGGAUUGACUGAGUACCCUUUUGAGUUCCCUGCAUCAGAGACAUGUUUACAGUUGUGCUUCCCAGUCUUCAGCAUUUAUGGUUUCAUGUUUGUCAAAUUUGUUUGAAGUAUAAAAGCGAUAAUCUUAAUUCUGUUACUGAUCAUUCCUUCAUUCUCUAGCUUAAUUUGUCACAUCAUCUUUCUUUUGAAACGUUUAGGGAAUUAAUAAAUUAAUAAUUUUAUACUCAUUCUUUUUCCACUCACAUAUCUCACUGGCUUUAUUCAGAAUUAAAUUUUUUUUGGUCCCUGUGUACUAUUUCCUUCUAUUAAUUAACUGACGGUUGUUUCUCUCUUCUGUGUUUUUGAUGCUUUUUUUUUUCUUUUACUGUUUAAAACUUUUUCAGAAGAUGUAGCGAGUGACUCAGGUGCUAGCUAGUGUUACUGAUUUCCCCCCCAUGUUAGUUAAUACCAUGUCAAAUAUAACUGAAGAACUCUGUUGUACUCACAGAUUAUGCCCCUCAUGGUCAGCAGACUAUUCAGAUACAGACUUUCAGGGGGAAGGUUUUCAAAAAAGUGUGGCUGCAAUCUGUAAAUGCUUUUAACAUCUGCACAUUGCAUUACUGUUUUCAAAUGUUUUUAUACCCACAUCAUUUUAUUUAAUAUUCACAACUAUUCUGUGAGAGCUUUAUUCUUUUAUGUUGUAGGGUUUUCUUAUUUUACAGAUUGGGAAACUGGUGUGGAGCGGUUAAAUGACUUACUCAAGAUUACAUAGCUAGUUAUAAGUGGAAGGACAAGGAUUUGAAGGAACAGGUGUGGCCUCUUCCAGGAAACAGUAUAAAUAGUCAGACUUUAUGAAGGAUAAAUUGGUAGGAGAGUCAUUUAUCUCACUUGUCUGUAAAGAGGAUUCUUUUUCUCAAGUAGAGCGUGAAGUAGAUUAUUUACUAGAAAAGCUUGAAAAUGCAUUUCAGAAAAUUAAAACUGCUUUGAAAUUAGGUGCAUAAUAAGAAUUGUUUCAGAGCCUGGCAUCCGUUGGACAUUACACACAUAUUCUCUGUCAAUGAGGUUUACAGUUAAGGUCUCUUCAAUCCUUAUUUUCUGAAAUCUCUUUUUGCUUAUAUAUUGAGACUGAAGUUAGCAAUUUUCCUCCAGGUGUGGACUUUGAAAAUUAAAUAUACUUAUUGAAAUGUAGGUUGUGUUUAUAUAGUGCUACCCUCCAGGAUUCUUGGAAAUUUAAAUGUAUUAUUGUAUGUAUGAAUCAUGGAAUGCACUAUAGAAUCUAUAGUGGUUAUCAGUUUUGUUUUGGGUGUAGUUCAUGGUGUUUACUUAAGUCUCUAAAGCAGAGUUUAGGAUCUCUGCAUUUCAGUUAUCUGAGUGCUGUGGGCCUACAUACCCACUCAGAUUCUCUUGUUCUAAGUGGUCUUAACACUCAGUUAGCUCUAUGUGUUGGUGGUGACAAAUUUUACUAUAUUUAUGACCUAGGUCUUUGAGUGGGCACUGUUUCAAGAAUCUAAGAAGGUACUGGCUACUAUUCAACUCACUAUCGGUUUCAAUUAUGGUCAGAGAAUUUUGAAAACAAAAAUUCUGAAUGCCCUAUAGUUUAGUAAAAAGUAGUUGAUCCUUUUGUUCAAAGCACUCUCCCACUUCACCUCCCCUCUAGGUUUGAAGCAUUCCUAUGCAGACAGUUUACCGACAUGAUAAACAAAAUUAUCCAUUCAUGCAUCCUAGGAUUUUAAUGUUACCAUCGCCCUCCACUCAAAAUGCAAUAUGCAUUUAGUCUGUAAUAGCAUCACUCCAUUUUAAGUGAAUAGUUGUUUCAGCUUUGAUUUGUAAUCACAAUUAAGGUAAAUUAUCCUUGUUUGCCUAGGACUGUCCUGGUUUUAAAACUCAAAAUCUCUCGUCCAAGGAACCCUCUCAGUCCCGGACAAACCAGAACAAUUUCUUAAAAUACUAUUUAGGACAACUGGUCACCCUAACGGCAAGGCUGUGUUGUUGAUUAGGCUUUAGGCAUGUUAUUGAGACUAUAGACUAAGCUCAGAUCAAUGGUUUUGAAGAUUCUGUAUGGGUCAGGAUUACCUGGAGUACUUGUUAAACAGACUGCUGGCUCCCAUCCCCCUAGUUUGGAUGGAGUAGGUCUGGGGUGGGGGUCUGAGAAUUACUUUAGUAACAGUUGCCUAAGCCAUGCUGACGCUGCUGGUUAGGAGAGUGCAUUGAGAACCACUGGCCUAGAUCAGGCUGUGUGCUGUGUGAGUAUAUGAUGAUGCUUGGUUCAGAAUUGUGGAGAAUGGGGAGCUGUGUUUCUCUGCCUCACAGGUCUAAGCACCAAUAACACCAAAGGGUAUUUGUAUCUGAACUGUGCUCAUACAGCACAAGAAGAGACGUGCUCCUGUUAGAGGUGACAGAAGUAGGGGAAGGAUUAAGAACAGUCUAGCUGCCGAAUCCUUCAUAGUAUGGAUAUAUUUUGAUUGUUUAUAGUAUCUUAGGCAAACUUUGAUUUGAUAAUUAAUUUGAGUCUUAUAGUCACAACAUCUGAAAUGGAUACUUCAGAAAGCAGAUAUUCAUUAUUAUAGCAGAACUGAUUAUAGCUGGGUUUAGCAGGGAUAUAAUGGUAGCCAUCUUGCCUACUUCUCAGUUAUCACUGUAAAAAUCUAGUUACAUAAAAGGUGUGAGCAUGCGGUACAAAUAAGAUGUCAUGGUGAUGAUUAAAGCGUACUUUGUUGUUGGACAGUAUGUUUCACAGUGCUUUCAUCUUCAUGUUCCAUUUGGUUGUUUUCAGGUGUCUUCAGAAUUCAGCAAAGUAGAUGGGAUGCAGACGUUACCAUUCCCUGAGACUCUUGCUACGAUCUUACAGACUUCAUUGUGCCAGGCUUAGAUGUCUUCAGAGUCACCAGGUACUUGGUUGUUCCUAGAUAGUGGGCCUGCCUGAUCAGGAUUUGGUACUUUUCCCACUGAAAUAAAAUUGUUUUGCCUAAGCCUCAUUUUGUGUGUCAAGAAAAUAAAGGCAAAAGAGUAAGUGCUGUGCUCCUAAUCCACAGCUAGCUGGUAGUCAGCAGCCUGGGAGGCUGAGUCUCUGGUCUCCUAGUCUCAACCUUCUAGGCAGUGAGCAUUGUUAAUCACAGAACAGGCCCUCCUUGGACUCCUUGGCUUGCUCGUCUUUGUUUCUUCCAGGGCCUAGCGUUCACAUCCACACACAUACUACAUACGUUUCUGCAUGUGUGCGUGUGCAUGUCAGGGAAACCAGAAUUUGUUCUCAGCUCCUUACUCAUGUGAGCUUAGCGAAAUCGUUUCUCCAAUCUGUACCUUCUUCUUCAUCUGUAAAAUAGAAUUAUCAUCUGCUCUGCUACUAACCUUAAAAGUAGUUACUGCAUAAGGAUGAGAAAAUGUAUAAAAACACUUUGAAGCUUUUGUUACAAAGGGCAGUUAGUAAUAAUGAGUAAAUGAUAAAUAAGCCUUAUAGAACAGGAAGCCUUUUCAUCUUUCUGUCCUAAACACCCUUCUAUUUUAUAAAUUUUUCAAGUAGAUUGUUUAUUAAUUUAGAUAAUGUUUUCUUUUUCUUUUUGUCUCUGCUCUAUUUAUUUAACAUUGGAUAUAUAGAGAAUGGUAAUUAUUAUUGAAUGGAUUGAAAACAAGAAUAGAGUCUCUUUGGGAGUAUCUGUGUGUGUGUGUUUUUUUUUUUUUUUUCCAUGUAAUUGGAGGCAUUUUCUGCUCCAUGGUCGGUUUCUAGUGGUUUGUGAAUUCUUGCCUUCUGCCAAGUGUUUUCUCCCUGUCACCACCCUGCUACUACUCUUUGUGUUUACCUUCCCAGCUGCCCUGCCUUAUUUCAGAGUUCAGAGUCAAAUUGUAGCCAACCAUUUCUGAGAGCCUUCCUAGACAUCACUGAAUUUCAGCUGAUUAAUAGAUUUAAGGGAUGCGAAAUCUAGGCCAAUUCAGAAUUUUACUUCAUUUGAGGGUUUUUUUUCCAGAAUAUUUAUCUUAAGUUACAAAAUGUUGUUUCCUGUUAAUUGUUUUCUUAUGUAUUCUGGUAAAAUUUUAUAAACCCAGUAAAACUCUCUUAUAACAAUACUCUUGGGGGAUAAUGGCUUGUAUUCGUUCUGGAUCGUCACAUAGGAAGAGAUGUGUUUAGGUAUCUAACUUGGUUUCAGCAUUGUGCUUGAGACAUCUGUGGUAGGACAGAAUCUGUGGCAAAUGUGGCAUGGCAUACAUUAUAUAUGGCUAUUCAUAAACUGCCUUUGAUAGAUUGACAAACAUUUCCAGUUACUGAACCAGUAGCACUGUUCCAGUCAGUAGCUCAGUAAUAUCCAUUUUUUUGUCUGUACAGCAGAUUGUAUGUAUGCAUGUGUGUUUUGCCCAUUUUUAUAAAAAUGUGUUAAAAGUAAAAUGCUAAUGCUGAUAGAAAAUUGACCCGCAAAUAUGUAAUGUUUUUGACAAAGAUGGAAAUCAUAAAGCAUGCCAAAAAUGGUAAACCUUUAGCUUCAGCUAUCCCCUCAUUAGACUUUACCUUCUUACUGUGUAUUAUUACAAAGAUUGUGUCUAGAAGAUAUUUUAUAAUGAUAGAAGGUAUUUUAUAAUAGGGUUUCUUAUCACAUAUACUUAAUAUUCAACUUCUGUACAUUUAAUUUUCAUGUUUCCUCAAGAAUAUAUUAUACAAAGUCAUAGCAUUUGACAAAAUUCCUUCAUAACGCUGAAGAAAAUAUUCUAUGUAUUGUUUGUGUGAGUUAAAUACAGUGGCUCUGAUAAAAAUGUCUUUUGAUCAGUCUUUAAAAAAAUUAAACUGAGAACAGGAAGGUAAAUUAAAGGGGAGAUUUGGAGACUUGUGGUAACUGGUUUAUUGCAACUUAAUGUGCAGCAUCCUCAUUAGUCAAGUAUCAUGUGCCUACCUAGGCAUGAAAUAGCUAUUUUUUUCCUGAUUUAAAUCUGGAAAGUUUCAGUUGUAGUACAGUUUGAAUAGUUGUUGUUGUAAAUAGCCACUGGACUUUUUAAAACAGUAUUUUUCUUCAAAAACAGUGAAGGUCAUCUUGUAUCCAUAGAGACCACAUGUACUUUCCUCGUUAUUUCCAGCAUUAUUUAUAUAAUGGGUAGAGUUAUUUACAACAUUAAACAAAAAGUAUUUCAGAGAGCAACCGUUAAAUAUUAUCACAGGGUAAAUAUCAGCAACUGAAAUCCUUUUCUCAUAGUUUCUCAAAAAACUUGGUAUUAGGAAAUUAGUAGUCUCUCAGAAUUUGUAUAUUGGUUUUCUUCAGUAGUUAUUCUGUAGAGUGUGUGUGUACAUAUGCAUGCUCAUGUAUGUAUGUAUGUUCAUUUCUUAAAUCAUUUCAUAAAUCACCGUGACUUAAUUGUGGACUUUAAUUGUUUUCAUAGUUUUUUUCCCCAAAAGAAGGUUACUUUACAUAUUUUAUUUUAUUUUUAUUUUUUUUGAGACAGGGUCUCACUCUGUCGCCCAGGCUGCAGUGCAGUGGCAUGAGCUCAGCUCACUGCAGCCUCCACCUCCCAAGCUCAGGGAUCCUCUUACCUCAGCCUCCCGAAUAGCUGGGACCACAGGCAUGCACCACCACACCCAGCUAAUAUGUUGUAUGUUUUUAGAGAUAGGGUUUUGCCACUUAGCCCAAGUCUGGUCUUGAACUCCUGGACUCAAGCGAUCUACCCAUCCACCUGCCUCGGCCUCCCAAAGUGCUGUGAUUAUAGACAUGAGCCACUGUGCCUGGCAAUUUUACAUAUUUUAAGUUAAAGCAAAUCUUGGUUUUUGAUGGAAUGCAGAUUUACUUAUAUUUCACUUAGUCUUUUUCCUUUCUUUCAGAAAAGUGGUGUGGAAACAAAAUGGUUUUAGUAUAUUGCCUUAUAAACAAAUUUAAGAUCCUGAGUUUCUUUUAUUAUCCUCUUUGUUUUGCUCAUUUCCUUGAACUGUACAUCCCUAACCUAAAUCAGCUGGAGACAGGGGAAGAAAGUGUUAGAUUCUUACUCAGUUUAGAUCCUCUGCCAGGAAAACCCACUCUAUUCAUUGUCAACUAAAUUAACGCUUUUUUAAAUAAAAGGAGUCAUUUUUAACAAUAACGUCAGGGCAGCAGGCAUCCAUGAGAUGUAUGGUCACUGAUCAUUAGGGUUAUCAUUCUAAUGCGUUUACUAUUUUGAAACUCUAGGGAGAAGAAAACAGAAGAAAACUUAUUUUUGCAUAUGUUGGAAAAAUGUGUCCUCAUGUAGGAUAUCAGGGUAAUAUCUUUAAUGUUUCAUACUUACCAAGAUAAAUUUGUAAUGCAUAUUUUCUUUUAAAAUUAGAUUAUUUAGGAGAAAUUGCACUUGGUGAACCACUUACUCUUUAAUUAUUAGCAUUAACUUUAUCAUUUUUGUUUCAAGAUGUCACAGCUAUUGUUCAGCACUAGAAAUUAUAUAAAUUAUUAGCUGAAGAUGAUGACUGGCAACAUUUAUGUCUGUUCCUCCUCUUAAAUUUCUUGUUCAGAAAGUCUGUUGUUGUAAACAUCCCCGACUGGAAGCUGUAAGACACAGCUAAGCUUUCAGUCAGAUGUUUGCUGCUACCGGCUAUUCACAGACAUCCUCUUGAUAUAAUUCUGUCCCGGAGUGGAGUUGAGGAGGCUAUAAAAUGUGUGGGAAAACCUCAGAAAUCUUUAGCUGCAUUCUUUUACUGCACUGACAGUGCACGUAUUAUGAUAGUUGAAUGUAGGGUGCUCUCCUAAUAACAGGAUAUGCCGUCUCGAGCUUCCCAGACUUAGCGUGCUGCUGCUGGGCCUUAGAGAAUUUAGUUAAAUAAAAAGUGUCCCCGCCUAUUCCUGUUUCUGCCCUGUCAAUGAAAUUUUAGUCUUUAUAACCUUUCCAAGUAGGCUGGAGUUUAACAUCCCAACAAUUCAGGAGACUGAUUUUCUCCAUUGUAAAUUCUGUGGAAGUUCUGGAGAAUAAUUUCAUCACUACCACCCAGCAGUAUGCAAUCUAGAAAUUUCAGCUUUCCCUAUACUUAAAAGAGAUGUGUGUGCAACAUUUUUCUCCGUCCUCUUAGCCCCCCACUUCCUGUUCCCCUCACCCUGAGUGAUAUUACAGCUCCUAAUCAGAACUCUCCUCUAAGAAAAACUGCAAGACGUCAAGCCACUAAGCCUGUUUACAUUUGCUAAUGGGUAUGCAUGUCUUUUUAUAUUAAUAUUUUUCCUAAGUAUUUUCAGAUUGUUGCUUUCAGAUUUAUUGCUUCCUCCUUAAAAUAUAGCUGCCCUGAAAGCAGCUGUAUUGUAUCUAUUUUUUGUGUUUCCCCACAGAUCUGAAUAAUCCAAGGGCUUUUCUCACAGAUGACACUCAGUGUGGACUAAUUGAUAAUGUAUAAUUUUAUAGCAGCUAUUUUCUGAGUUUUAAAAAAUUGUUAUUUUAUUUCUGUUAGUCUUUCAGACACUGGAAAACAUUUCUAUUUUAUUGGCAUUUUUCUUUUCAAUAAAGCAUUGGUUUUUUAAAAUCAUUUAGUUUUAUUAAACUGCUAAACAUACUAUGUUAGGUUCCAUACAUGAUUAAACCAAAAGAUAAAGGUCUUGCCAAUCUAAUGUAUUUACAUGCUUAUUUUCUUUGAUUAGAUUAUAAGCUUUCUGAGGUCAGAGACAUUAAAUCUUGAUAAUUCUAUUUUUUCCUGUUAUAAACAGCAAGUAAAGCACCUUGCAUGUAUAGUACUUUAGUAAUGAUUUUAUAUUAUCUUAUUGCAGCAGUGUCUACUGUUUCCUCUUAUCUUUUAUCCAGAUGAGCAAAUGACAGUUUUGGUCAUAAUGUAGUUACCCCAGAUGUAUUUGUGCUACAGCUUUUAUUUUUUAAAUGCUCUUUUGUUAGAGUAGUAGUUUAUAAGACUUAUUUGGGGAUGGGGGUCAGUUGCUUCAGACUCAGGUGGCUUUCCAACUUGUAAAUACAAUUUUCAGGCUGGAUGAUUAGCAUGCAUCAAGCAUCCCUUCCUAUGAACUCUAAAUAAAGCAGAUUUAUUGCAUAUUCUGUGGCCCUCUGUUUUAGCACAUUGGAAACCUUAGACUCAAAUAGCAGUGAAAGGAUAGUUAUUGCUGAGCUCAGAAGUCUUCCCUGCCAAAGGUAGAAUGUAAUGUGUUCUGUGGUGAUAGGAUUAUUUUGUUUGACCAGGUGACACUGUUUAUUUCUUAUGAAAAAUUUUGAUAUACAGCUUUAAAAUUUAGUAAGAUGGAUGCAUAAUUUAUACAGUGAAAUUUGAAAGAUUUUUCAAAAUGAUAAGGCCAAACCUAAGCUAAAUGAGGGGGUAGGCAUUCUUUAUAAUAAAGCUGUUAUACUCUGCCCAGCUAGGCCAGUUAUCCCUAGAUGCUACAGAUUAAUGGGGCAAUCUGUGUUAUGUAACAUUUGUUCUAUAUUAUUCUGCCUCUAAUGAGGUGAAUCAAAGACGAUGUCAGUUUUAAUUCUGGAUGCCCUUGCUUCAGUGUAGUAUAAUACAUAGGUACAGCCUUUUUUAGUAGUUUUCAGAUGGCUACUUUAUGUUUUUAUAUUGAAGAACCACUAACUUCCCAUUGGCCUAUAAGGUUAGCAAUUGAUUAUUUAUAGCAAAUGGCUUGAAAUGUUAGAUCAUCAGUAUUUGUCAAUAAGCCUGUAAUAACUUGUUUCCCUAGCCCUUAACUUAGUGUUGAAGAAAAAAAUUGUGUUAUUCAUUGAUAGGACUUAGAAAGCACAGAAAUUACUUAUUAUUUAAGAUUUGUUCUACCAAUUGAUAUUUAAAGUAAAACAUUUUUAGUUACUGAACACCAUUCUGUAAAUGACAAUAUUUUAUCCUGAGUAUAUGGUCUGAAAUGACUUAGGGACAACUUUUUAAAGCAAAUAAGUAAUUACAAAAUUGGGUCUUCCAAUUUAUUUCAAAUUAGAUGCUUUUGUACAAAUAUUCUUGGUUAGAAAUAGUCAUAUAAAUACACUGUUGGACUUGUUCUCAUUGAUCUCCACGCUUCAGUUCCUUCUACAUGAGUCAUGGGCUUGAGGUUACCCAGAAAUGGACUGUGAACCUAUAAACCCCAGCAUGCAUGUGGUAUUGCAUCGAGCAUGUUCUGUGAUUCCCUUCUACUCUUGUUACAGCUUUAUUCAUUGGAUCAAUGUGCAUUAUUUGCUGUGUGUGCUCAGGUAAUAUUUUUGUUUCUUUUUUUUAGUUUGAAUAUCAGUUUGGGCUUAGUUACUUUUUAAAAUAAGGCUGUUUCAGAUAGUCUCUGCCACACUUUGCCUAGCCUGGUUAAUUGUGGGUGGACCCAUGCUACAUGUUUUGGCAUUGCCUUUUUCUUAUCUGUACCAUAUUACAAACUUCCUAGUAAUUUGACAUUCACUGCUGUCUUUGCUUUAGCUUUCCAACAGGUUUGGUGAAACAGUCCAUUGCUGUUCAAUAUCAGCUUGCAUCAGAAUUACUUGGAGGGCUUAUUGAUUAAAACACAGAUUGCUGGGCCCUGCAAAAAAAGUUUCUGAUUCAGUAGGUCUGGGGUGGAACAUGAGAAUGUGCUUUUCCCCCCACAGUUCCCAAGUACUGCUGAUGCUGCUCCUCUAGGCCCAUGCUUUCAGAAUCACAGAGCUCAUCUUACAUUCUUUUCCUGCUAGAUAUUAUGCCCAAUUAAUACAUGAAGUAAAACAGAAAAAUCCUUAACUUAAAAACAUGUAUUAAUCCAGAAGUUUGAUUAUAAAAAGGUUUGUUGAAAAUGUGAGACCAUUUUUUCUCCCAGAGAAAAAGUAUAUUAAUUGUCUAGCUGGGAGGGGCCUAUUUGAAUGUGUUUUCAGAGAAAAGCAGAAGAAAAAAAUACGGUUGUAAUAGAAGUAGUUAAAACAGAAAAGCAGUAUGGUUGUAGAGUGGGGUGGUGGGGAGGUAUAUGUGUAUUUAAUCUUGAGAACCAAUGCUUUUGGAAAACAGCCCGAAGGGACAAGAGACUAGUAGAGACUGGCGAGGUUCCUGAAAGUCCUGGGUUACCUGUGAAAUGCCAAAGAUUUUUAAAGUUUGCUGGCAGUGGUUAUUAUAUGUAGUUUUACUUCCAAAUUUGAAGAUUUCCUCUUCUUUGAUGCAAGUGUGUUGGUAGGACCACUGAUAAUAGUUAGUAGAGAUAUUUGUGGGAAUAUAUUUUUAAUCAGAAAGAAUGCAAAAAGAGGGGGAGACAUUUCUUUGAGACACCUUAAUGACACUGGGAACAGUAGAAGGUGGAAAGAGAUCAGAGUGUGGGAAAGAUGUGCCUGAGAUGAAAUUAUCUGAAUUCUGAAUGUGGGGGAGAAGAUGAGGAGAGGGUUGAGGGGGAGGAGAGAUGACUAAGCUCCUCACAGUGUUUCAUUAACUGUCUUUUACCUAAAGGAGGAAUCUUCUUAAUGAAGAUUGGUUGAUGCAUCAUACUGGUCAUCAAGUAAGUUCUUAUAAAUGCAAGUUUGAUUGUUUUGAAGGGAAGGAUGUAGGAAGGCUGGAUAAUCAGCUACAUUUAGAUAUGGAACGCUACAGGAUGUCUGCAUUUAUUGUUGUAAAUUCCUUUGGUGAAAAACGUUAUCACUUCUUUGUGACUAGCCUGGGCAAUAUAGUGAGACCUUGUCUCUAAAAAAAAUUUUUUUAAUAAGAAAAAUUAGCCAGGCAUAGUAGCGUGCCUGUAGUGCCCCCCACCGCCCUGGACACGCCCCCACUUCCAAAAAAACAAACACCCAUCUCACUUCUGCCUUUUCCUUGGAUUCUACACUUUCUCUCAGGAUAUCUUUCCGAUUGAGUCUUGCCUCAUUUAUGUGAAUGCUGUGCCUGUUCUUUUUUUCAACAGAGUCUUAUGUAAAGAACUGUACAAACUUAGUAAAGAGUUUAAGUCCUGCUUUAAACCAAGUUUCAGUUCAUGUAAACAUCCUACACUCAGCUGUAAUACAUGGAUUGGCUGGGAGGUGGAUGUUUACUUCAGCUGACUUGGAAUAUCAACCAAUUAACAUUGAUAAAAGAUUUGGCAAGAAUAGUAUACAGAGGCUUGAAUUUUUAAUGUAAUUAAUGUAAUUAAAGGUUUGUGGAAAUGUGAGACCAUUUUGUUCUCCCAGAGAAAAAGUGUGUUAAUUGUCUAGCUGGCAGGGAUCUACUUGAAUAUGUUUGCAGAGAAAAGCAGAAGAAAGCAUGGUUGCAGUAGGAGUAGUUAAAACAGAAAAACAGUAUGCUUAUAGAGGGAAAAUUACCCUAAAUUUAUUAAAAAUUUAUUAAAAUUCCUUUAAAUUUGUUACUCAAUUUAAAUUUUUAUUGUAUCUUUUCAAUUUUGCUAUAGCACUAACAUGACAUAAGGCUCUGGGUAUUGGGACAAAAGAAUGCCCUUGUUUGGUAGUUGGGGUCGGGUUUGUAGUAUUGCAGUGUGCUUUAACAAGCAUGGGCUUUGACAUCAGACAUUUGUUGCCAUCUGGACUCCACAAGUGAAUUUGCUACGGGAUUUGGAGGAGGGAAAGGCACUGUUUCCAUACCUCAGUGGUUUUCUCAUCUGCAAAAUAGGUAUGUGAUUGCAUGGAUUGACUUAUAUGAUGAAUAUAAAGUUGUUCAUUAGUACAGUACCUGUCAUAUUAAGUACUCAAUAAAUGCUAGUUAUUAUUAAUGCUGUGUUUUAGGUGUUCAGUAAAUAGUUGCCAUAAUGCUUAAAGCAGACAUAACUUGUUUUUAUUUUAGCAAUAAAGAUGAUGCCAACUUUUUGGUUUAAUGGAAAUGCUUUGAAUCUUUGAUAUUGUUGUAAUAUAGUGGCAAAGAAUUUUGAAUCCCAGCUUCUGGAGCUCAUAUCUUGAUUCUGCGAGUUACUUCGCUGUGUUACUUUGGGGGAAGUUAUUAAUCUCUCUGUGCCUCAGUUUCCUCAGUCAACUAAAUUGAAAUUAUAAUAGCACCUACCUGAUAGGAUUGUUGAGACUAAAUGAGGUAACAAUUUAAAAAUAAGCUAAUACCUGAUAAUUAGUUCUAUAUAUGUAUUGAUUGGUCUAAACGUUAUUUCCAUUUUCAUGUCUUUACUUAAAAUACUGAAAAUUAAUUUUUUAUAGCUUUGUUUUUCAGUUCCAUGAAAUCAGCCUGCCUUUUCUUUUUUUGGUGAUGCAUCCACAUUCUGUAUAGGUAAAAAGCAAAACAAACAAGUAUAAAACGAGAAUUAUGUAAGAAGUACACACAUCCUAGCAGCUUGGCAAGUGUCUGUAUGCUCUUGCCUGUGCCUAAAUCCAGAAUUAGAAUUCAUGUUUGGUGCUCCUGUGGAAGAUGUCUAAAUGUUAUGAGAAAUACAUGAUUAAAUAAAAAUGUGAAAUGAAAGCAUGGAGACUUGUUGAAGAUGUAGGCUGUCCAGGUGUCCGGUACUAUAACUCCACAAGAUCAGUAGGGCCCCAGGCUUUUUCUGUUCUUUAUGAUCCACUCUCUACCAUGUAGCAUUUGUCUUCAAGAUCAAAAAAUGGUGGCUGUAGUGCUCACAUUCCAGAUAAGGAAGAAUGGGCAAGAAACAAAAGAUCCACUCCAAAUGUGAUGGCAAAAUGAAGAUUUUUGAGUGAAAAAUGGAAAUUUGUCUUCAGUACAUACACACUGAAAGAAAUGUUGAAGAGAGUUCUUCAGGCAGAAGCAAAAUCAUUCCAAGGGAAAUCCUGGAAUGCAGGAAUAAAUGAAGAGCAAUGGAAAUGGUAAAUAUGUGGGCAAAUUUGAAGGAAUAUUGGCUGUAUUAAAUUCUGUGGUUUAAAAUAUCUGUGGAAUUAAAAUGCACCUACAAUAACGAGACAGGAGAAGUUUGUACUGGAGUUUGUCCUCAGGUUCUAGCAUUAGGUAGGUAAAUGGUAAGAUUACUUUUUUUAGACUAUGAAGACAAGGGUGCAUGUUGUAAUCUCUUAAGCACUAAAAGGCUAAUAGAAUGUAUACCUAACAAUUUAAUGGAGACAAAAGCAUUUAAAAGAAGGCAAGAAUAGAAAAGGGACAUAAAACAGAUGGGUCAAAUUUAAAGUUGCAAAAUAGAAACCCAAAUACUUUAAAUGAGUCAUUAGUUGAAUUAAGUUUAAAAAUUUAUCAGGCUGAAAAUUCCCUACUACAUAUUGCUUACAAGAGGCAUAGUUUAAAUACAAGGCCACACAAAAAGAUCGAAUGUAAAUGGCAUAGGGAAAAAAAAAAAAAAACAGCAAACCAAAUAAAAACAGUUUGUGGUAUUGUCAGGCAAUGAGAUUUAAGGCAAAAAGCAUUACUAGAGAUAAAGAGGGACAUUUUAUAAUGAUGAAGGAAUUAAUUCACCCAAAACACAUAAAGAUCCUAAAUCUGUAUGUGUUGAAAAGAGAUUUGAAAUACAUAAAGCAAGAAUGACAUAUAAGAGGAGAAAUAGGUAAGUUCCUAACCAUAGCUGGAGGCUUAUGCAGCUUUUUCCAUAGCUGAUAGAAUAUCCGGACCCUACCCCCAAAAAAUCAGAUGCAGAGGAUCUGAAUUUUACAUAUAUGAAUACUUGAUUUAAAAAACAUAAUUCAUAUUUUCUUCAAGUAAAUUUAUCAAGAUUUACCCUAUUUUGAGUCAUAAAGCAAACCAAUAAUCUCAAAAGAUCAAAAGCAUUCAUCUUACAUUCUCUAACACAGUGGAAUUAAACUAGAAAACAGUAGAAAACAGUAAAAAAGAUGAUUAGAGAAACCCUCAACUACUCUGAAAUUAUGUAAUAGAUUUCUUGAUAGUCCCUGGGUCAAAGAAUAAAACAAAUUUAAAAAUAUUUUCAAGUGAAUAAUAUGACAUACCAAAAUGUGUGUUGCAGCUGAAGCAGUAUGUGGAGGAAAAUUUAUAGAUUUACAUGCGUACAUUAGAAAAGAAGCAAGGCUGAAAGUCAAUUACCUAAACUACUUUCAAGAAGCUGGAAAAAGAAGAGCAAGGAAAUAAUAAAAGACAAAAAGUCAGUGAAAUAACACACAAUAGAGAAAGCCAAAAUGUUGGUUCUUUGAAGUCUAAAAACAAUAAUAACCUCUACUGUUUAACAUAUUUGGGAUAUUAGCCAAUAACAUAAGGCCUGAAGUAAAAAGAUACAACGUUUAGAAAGAAGAAAAUAAUACCAUUUAUAGACAACUGGUUGUGUGCAUAGAAAUUUCAAAAGACUCAACAAACAAAAUAACUUAUCAAGGUCACUGAAUACAAACUAUACAGAAAUUGUAUUUCUAUAUAUCAGAAACAAAUAGAAAUUGAUAAAAUGAUACCAUUUACACUAGCAUAAAAUAAAUACAAGAAAUGUUCCAAUCAUUUAAGAAUUUUUUUUUUAAUUCUAAAUAUAUGGAUAUACCAUGUUCAUGACUUGGAAGUCAAUUUUGUAAAUUAAUCUGUAACGUCAAUAUAUGAUAUUAUCAAAAUCCCAACAGUAUGUUGGAGAAAUUAACAAACUGAAGAAAUGCAAAGGACCAAGAAUAUCCAAGAUAAACUUGAAAAAUGUUCACCAACAGACAUAAGACCUGUGAUUAUAAAAGUAUAGUUGUAAUUAACACUGAUGUUGGCUGGCAUAAGGAUAGACAAAUAGACCAAAGUAACAGACUAGAGCAAAGUAGACUAGAACAAAAUAGAACAAAGUAACAGAAUUCUGUAUACAUGGUGAUCCACACAUUUAGGUCAUCUGUGAUUUAUGAGAAAAAGAAACUAUUGUAAUGGUACAGUCAAUUAGAUAGCUGUAUUGGGGAAAAAAGUAGACCCCUUCCUUGAUACCAUAUAUAUAGAAAAAUCAAUUCCAUGUGGAAUAUGGUUUAAAUGCAAAAGGAAAUAAUGAAACAGGAGAGUGUCUUCAUGUUUUGGGGUAGGCAACUAUUUAAAGGACAUAAAGCAUAAAGGAACAUUUUAAACUAAUUUGUGGUGAUAGAAUCAGGGUAGAGGUUAUCACUCGCCUGGCAAAAUUAAUCAAUAAGAAAAGACAACUUAGCCAGACACAGUGGCUCAUGCCUGUAAUCCUAGCACUGGGAAGCUGAGGCAUGAGGAUAGCUGAAGGCCAGGAGUUCAAGACUAGCCUGGUCAACAUAGCAAGACCUUGUCUCUACAAAAAUUUUAAAAAUUAACUGGGUGCGGUGGCAUGCACUUGUAGUCCCAGUUACUUGGCAGCCUGGGGCAGGAGGAUCAUCUGAGCCCAGGAGUUUGAGCCUGCAGUGAACUAUAAUUGUGUCACUACACUCCAGCCUGGGCAACAGAGCAAGACCCUGCCUGUCUAAAAUUAAAAAAAAAAAAGACAGCUUGAUAUCAGGAAAGAAAUAAGGCAUGAAAACGGAUAAAAUUAAAAUUAUUUGAUUUAGAAAGUGUGAAUUUAUGUGAAUAAAUUUGAAAUUUUAGAUAUUUUUUGAUGAGUGUUGCCAAAUAUGUAUUAGUAAAUAAGUCUCAAUCUGUUUUUUAAAAUCUACUCUGAAUAAUGCACAAGCUCUGGAUGAUUUAUUAAAAUACAUUCAUUGUGACCAAGUAAGGAUUAUUUCCAUAUGGGAGAAUGAUUUAACACUGAAAAAUAUUUUCACAUAGUAUAUACCAUGUUAAUAGGUUAAAGAGAAAAGGCAUGUUGCUAUCUCAGUGAAUGCAGGGAGUUGGAGGGGGAGAACCAGCAAAAUGCAAGUUAUAUUCACUUAGGAUUUUAAAAAUAAAACAUCCUCUUAAUAGAUGAAUAAACGUAUUAGUACGAUAAAUGAUAGCUUACCAAAACCCAUAGUUAUUGUUACAAGUUAAUGGUACAACUUUAGAGAUGUUCCUUAAUGUCAGCAAUAGUACAGGAAUGGGAUAUUGUAUUAAUACAUCUGUUCCAUGUUGCACUGGAGAUCUUGGCCAGUGCAGUGAGACUAGAAGAAUAAAUAAUAGGCAUAAAGACUGGAAAGAGAGAAUCAAUUAUUGUUAAUGGGCAAGAUCAUUGUUUAUUUGAAAGUCCAAGGAAAACUACAAAGUAGCAAAACUAAUGUGAGUGUUGAGAGAUUUUGGAUAUAAGAGCAAUCUGCAAGAAUUAGUAGUGUUCUUUUCCACUUCAGUGUGUUUGAAAGUGUAUUAUUUGAAAGAAUUUCAUUCACAAUUAAAACUCUAAGGGGACCUAAUAAUACAUCCAAUAAAAAUAUGCAAGAUUUUGUAAAAGUAGACUAAAAUGAAUGGAGCAAUAUUCUAUGUUAGAGAAUGGGAAAAAUCAGUGCAUUAAAGUACCAGUUCUCUCCAAAUCUAUAAAUUCACUGAAGUUCCAAUCAAAUUCUCAACAAAACUUUUUAUGGAAUUUAAUCAGCCUAACCUAAAUGUGGAAAGACAAAGUUGAGAUUUUUUUUUUUUUUUUAACAGGAAAAAUAGCGGAGUACCUAUCAUAAAAGACAGUAGGGCUUAUAAAACUAUAGUGAUAACACAGCCCUUGUGAUGCCAGGAUAGGCAUGUAAAUCUAUGGUACAGAAACAGAUACAUGAGAACCUGAUACGUGACACAGUGGAGAAAUUAGUAACUUUUCAAUAAAUGGCACUAGGACAAUUGCAUGUCUGUAUGUGAAAAAAUUAUAUACCCUUCUCACACCAUAUUUUUAGAAACUGGUAGAUUAAAGACCUAAAUGUGGCGGGGGGGAGGGGGGCGGGAAUACCAUUUUAAAUAUUUUAGAAGGUAAUACAGGAAAAUUUGAACCAAUGUAAGGAAGGAGUUGUUGGAUGUGACUCAGUGGGAACCAUGAAGAAAAAGAGUCACACAUCUGACUGUAUUAAAACUAGAAACUUAAGUAUGACAAAAGACACUGAAUAUUAGAGGGCCAGCCACAGACGUGGAAGGUACUUACCUUGCAAUUAUCUACCGGUAACUGACAAAGGAAGUGUCCAAAUUACAUAAAGGACUACUUAAGGGGGGAAUAAAUGAGUGAUAGAGAGAACCAAAAGGUCAAUUAACAGAAAAAUGUUUUAGCUCACUAGUAGUCAAGGAAAUGCCAGUCAGCACAGUUAGAUACCAUUUCACAUCCAGUCAGAUAAUAUCAGGGAUUGGCAAACAUGUUGAGAAAAUAAUUCAUACUUUAGUAAAGUUGAAAUUACACAUUGCUUAUAACAGCAGUUCAACAUCUGUCUUUUUAUAAGACUAAAGUUUUGCAUCAUAUUUAGGUACAGAAAUUGUCAGAACACUUAAAGCUUGUAGGCAUUUGUUGCAGGGAGAAGACUGAAUUGCUUUUUUCAAAAACUGAAAAUCACAUUGACGUGUUGUAAAACAGAACCUUAGCUUUAGAGAGGGAAAAAAAAACUACAGUAUUUUGUUAAAUUUAGCUACAUUUAAAGAUACUAAUAAAUGCAGUUUAUGAACUACCAGUCUCCUAUGUUGGUCAUAUUUUGACAAGUAAGGCUUUUUUUUUUCAUAACGUCGAUAUUCACACAGAGGUUACAGUUCAGAUUAGGAGAACAUAUGUAUGAUAAAACAAUUAGACUAAAAAGUUCCUUUCUUUUUAUAUGAAAUGGCAGAAAAGCAACAGCAGUUUAUUGCUUAUGACAGAAUACAUUGAUACUCGAAUAUUUCUUGAGAUCUUUGCUUAAAUCUACUAGUAUCUAUACAAAAUUUUUAUGUUUACUUCACUAGAUUGUAAAUUCAGUUUUCUUACUAAGAAAGACUGAAAUUUAUUAAUAAUUUUGGGGUUCUAGUGAUUAGCAUUAGAGACUGAUUUGCUUUUAAAGAGAAUCGCAUAUUUUAUAUAUUUCCAAUUUUACAUACUUCUGAAAGAACAUAACUUUGUCAUUAAUAUAUGGCAUAUGUAUACAAUGAAAAAUGUACAAGGAUGUUUCUUACAGCAGUUAUUGAAAUAGCAGGAAGAAAAAGGUAACUUAAAAUACACUUAGCACUAGAGUCUCCAGUCACAUCUACUCCCUGGCCCAUGAACUAAGAACGUUUUUAACGUGUGUAUGAAAGGAGUGACUUAAUAGAUCUGGCGUGUUGAAAUCUGCACCUUUCAAAGAAAGGUCUAGCCCUCAACUUGCUCCUGGGAGAUCACAGCGCUAAGCCCCUGGAAUAUCCUGCCUGACGCAAGGCCUUUGUUUACCUGGGGCCUUGGAUCACACCAGAUAGUUUAUGCUACAGAUUUAUGGUGAGGGCAUUGCACCUUGCAGUAUCAAUUUAAUCGCCGGGGGAGGUGGAAACUGAAUAACAUCUGCCAUUUCUGUUCUCCAUGCCUAUGUGACUAACACCCAAUAAAAACCUUGGACACCAAGUCUCAGCUUCCCUGGUUGAUAAUAUUUCAUAAAUGACCCACACUCAUUCAGAGAGGAUUAAGUGCUGUGCAUGCAUCUCCUGUCAGAUGGGACAACUGGAAGCCUGUCCUGCUCUCUUCUGAACUCUUUCCUAUCUGCCUUUUAAAACUGUACUGAUUUUAAACUGUACUUUUGCUCUAAUAAACUAAUUGUCAACG